AAAUGUUUGGGCUUAGCUUUGCUUGGGUCCUCAACAUACAAACAGCUCAUUGUUCAACCCUAAAGACGCAACUGGUUAUCAACCUAUUCCUAUCCCUUAUUCMUCUGUCAUUCAACUACUCUAUUCAACGAAUCAACUGUUUCAACAAAUGGCAUCAAAACCAUAAUAAAACACUAAAAAG
Long non-coding RNA from Salvelinus sp. IW2-2015, 181 nucleotides. RefSeq lists it as uncharacterized. The record is from RefSeq and is a predicted model, not a curated record. NCBI's taxonomy places the organism in Eukaryota, Metazoa, Chordata, Actinopteri, Salmoniformes, Salmonidae.